AUUCCACGGUUGCUCAUUUGCUUCCGUUGGCAAUAUCUUAUCUUGAUGGCUAUGCACGUGUUCAGUUGUCCCCUCCUUUACCUGCUGUUCUGAAACCAGAUUUGAAGACAAAAGGGAUAUUUUGCUACCGAGAGAGAACAGUUCUUGAGGGAGUGCUGGAUUCGUGAUGUUGAAGGUUUCCGAUGGGUUUUUUGUGGCCAAUGUUGAGGGGGCAAGAUGGAUCCAACCUUGGUUGUUUUUCUUCACCAUCGUAGAUGUUCUUUCGGUAACUUCUUGCUGACCUCUCCUUGGAAACAGAUUCAGAUUUUGGUUUUGAACAUUGGUUGGCUUCUCUUUGUUUUGAUUGCCAUAGAGAUUAGUUUGACUAGAAAAUUUUCCCAUGAAAUCGGUUUCUGUUGGUUGCCUGUGACCUGUUUGUUGAAAAGCCUGAGAUAUGCCUUGGUUGUUGUUGUACUCGGCUUUGAUCCAUGGGCCAUAAAUUAAUCUUGAUGUAGGUGAACUUAGAAAUCCACAAAAAACUUGGGAAUGACCGAGUCUACCACAGGCAUAACAGAAGUCUGGAAGUUUUUCAUAUUUGAGAGCUAUCCAUAUUUCAGAAUUAUCUAACCUUGGCAUCAUAAAUCGUUGCUGUAAUGGCUUAGUGACAUCAAUUUUAACCUUGAUUCUGAUGAAUUUUCUGAAAGCUAGUCCAUAGAGAGGAUCCUCUUCCACUUUGAUCAAACUUCCAAGUGCUCUCCCUAUUUGAAUAGCAUUUUCUAGAGUAAUAUAUAAUCCAAAGGCAGACCAUGGAUUUGCACUUGGAAUGGAGCAUGAUUUAAAUUGAUUUCUUUGAGAGUGGCCCCGGUUGGCCACUGUUUUAGGACCAGAAGAUGCCCUUUGAAAUUCCAUGGGGUUUGAUUGAGGACUCUAAGUUUAUCUUGGGUAUUUCUAAAGGUGAAAAUAAAACUGUUUGUUUCCAUAUCUUCAAUAAGGAAAUUUUGUAUAAAGUUCCAUGAUGCUUUGAUGCAUGAAUGUAUUGCAAAUUUGUUUAAAGGCCGCUCGGCUACCAACCUGCCUAUCAGAAUUUUGUUUGAGAUGUUUUGAGCUGAUACUGGCGCUAGAUGCAGGUUGAGAUCAUGCCAUGAGAGAGCAGCUGUUUGAGAGAUAAGGGAAUCCAGAUCCAUCUUUGCUGCUAUUGUGUUGGUUAUCUUUGUUCUUGGGUGAGAUGUAAAACAGAAAAGUAGCAACAAUAAGUGCAGGAAAAUGUAAAAACAGCCUCCUAGUUAGAGAGAGUUUGACUUCUCACUAGCCGGCCUCAGUUAGGUUUGCUGCUCUUAGGAUUCACUCAAAUUGUUGUCAGCUUGACUUUCCCCAACCAUUCAGACUUCUUUACACUCGUACUUGUUACACUCUUGAAAAAGACCAUUUCAUGAAUUAUUUGCAAAAUGGUUUGUAUGACAUGGCCUAGCCUAUUAUUCAGUUAUGGUCCAAAUUUUUCUUAGGAAAUCAAAAUGUUUGAAACAACCUCUCAAUGGGUAAGUUUAUUGUUAUGAAUUGUUUUUACAUGCUUUAAAUUUUACAAUCUUUGUUAAAUGCUUGUAUUAAAUCAUUUUACAAAAACUAUGCCCUGUCUUGGAAUAUUGUUUUUUUUUUUUAAGUUUCUAAGUCAUUUUUUCUCUUUCUUCGAAUUCUUUUGGGAUUUGAUACGAAGCAAAACUGCCAUUUUUGUAACUUUUUUUCAAAAUUGGACUUUGAGGCAAGGGAAAAAAAACCUAUUAUUUCAUUUUUAUCUAUUUACUUUAUUUAUUUAUUUAUUAUUUUGGAAGUCUGCCUAUUUGUCCAACUUGAUGAAAUAUUUUUGGCGACUCAGUUAAUGUUUUGACAAGAGUUUUGGAACUAUAUUGACAAGUUGUUAGAAUUUCAAUUUCCUUGUAUUUUUGU
This is a long non-coding RNA of Carya illinoinensis, 1920 nucleotides long. RefSeq lists it as uncharacterized. The record is from RefSeq and is a predicted model, not a curated record. Lineage: Eukaryota; Viridiplantae; Streptophyta; Magnoliopsida; Fagales; Juglandaceae. The transcript has 2 exons.